GUGCCAGCAGCCGCGGUAAUACGGAGGGUGCAAGCGUUAUCCGGAUUUACUGGGUUUAAAGGGAGCGUAGGCGGAAUGUUAAGUCCGUGGUGAAAUCCCUCAGCUCAACUGGGGAACUGCCAUGGAUACUAUCAUUCUUGAAUGUCGUUGAGGUUUGCGGAAUGGGUCAUGUAGCGGUGAAAUGCAUAGAUAUGACCCGGAACACCGAUUGCGAAGGCAGCAGGCUAAACGAAUAUUGACGCUGAGGCUCGAAAGCGUGGGGAUCAAACAGGAUUAGAUACCCUGGUAGUCCACGCCCUAAACGAUGAUUACUCGACAUACGUGAUAUGACAAUGUGUGUCUGAGCGAAAGCAUUAAGUAAUCCACCUGGGAAGUACGACCGCAAGGUUGAA
This 392-nucleotide ribosomal RNA is filed under the name uncultured bacterium. Its description in RNAcentral is "bacterial SSU rRNA". It matches the Rfam family "Bacterial small subunit ribosomal RNA", at positions 505 to 898 of the family's 1533-position model. The record is from RNAcentral.